UCUCCGUAGGUGAACCUGCGGAGGGAUCAUUACAGAGUUCUCGCCCUCGCGGGUAGAUCUCCCACACACUGUUAUCGUUACUGUGUUGCUUUGGCGGGCCGCCGGGCCCCGCUCGGCCGCCGGCUCCGGCUGGCGCGCGCCCGCCAGAGGCCCAGCAAACUCUGAAUGUUAGUGUCGUCUGAGUACUAUAUAAUAGUUAAAACUUUCAACAACGGAUCUCUUGGUUCUG
This 229-nucleotide unclassified non-coding RNA is filed under the name plant metagenome. RNAcentral's name for it is "partial contains small subunit ribosomal RNA, internal transcribed spacer 1, and 5.8S ribosomal RNA". The record is from RNAcentral.